GUAGGUGAACCUGCGGAAGGAUCAUUAUUAUUUGGAUCGAAAUUUACUUCUAGUAUUGGUCACGACUAUUUUGGAGUAAAUUUUUUACCAAAUAGUUUUAACAUUUACUUCCUAUAUUUUUAUAUAGGAGCAAGAUGAACAAAAAUAUUUAAAACCCCACCCUUAAAUAUCUAUACGUAUUUUAAAUCGAUAAAUUAAAAGAUCACUUUCAACAACGGAUCUCUUGGUUCUCGCAUCGAUGAAGAACGCA
RNAcentral lists this unclassified non-coding RNA (250 nucleotides) under plant metagenome. Its description in RNAcentral is "partial contains small subunit ribosomal RNA, internal transcribed spacer 1, and 5.8S ribosomal RNA". The stretch from base 204 to 250 matches the Rfam family "5.8S ribosomal RNA", at positions 1 to 47 of the family's 154-position model. The record is from RNAcentral.